GCCGGGCGCGGUGGCGCGCGCCUGUAGUCCCAGCUACUCGGGAGGCUGAGGCAGGAGGAUCGCUUGCGCCCAGGAGUUCUGGGCUGUAGUGCGCUAUGCAGAUCGGGUGUCCACACUAAGUUCGGCAUCAAUAUGGUGACCUCCCGGGAGCGGGGGACCACCAGGUUGCCUAAGGAGGGGUGAACCGGCCCAGGUCGGAAACGGAGCAGGUCAAAACCCCCAUGCUGAUCUAUAUAUAGGGAGCAUAUAUAUGUAACAUACACAUAAAUACACACACAAAUACAAUUUUU
RNAcentral lists this signal recognition particle RNA (290 nucleotides) under Neogale vison (American mink). RNAcentral's name for it is "Neovison vison (American mink) Metazoan signal recognition particle RNA (ENSNVIG00000004819.1)". It matches the Rfam family "Metazoan signal recognition particle RNA". Rfam says of the family: The signal recognition particle (SRP) is a universally conserved ribonucleoprotein. Lineage: Eukaryota; Metazoa; Chordata; Mammalia; Carnivora; Mustelidae. The record is from Rfam by way of RNAcentral.